UGUGUACCUGAUGGGUAUGAAGAGUUAAGGACAUAUGCUGGGAUGAUAACUGUUCAAACCAGAGGAUCAAAUGAACCUUAUUGUUUCUCUGAGCUGUCCAGCAGAGGGCUGGCCAUUUCAGGACACACAGUUUGGGGAAGAUUCUGCACUGGAGAAACAGCAACCCCCAGGAUGAAGCUCUGGCCAGCCAAAGGCAAGGCAAAGUCAGCUGAAGGUGCUAUCUGAAGAACCAAAGGGGGAAACUACCUGAAGCCAAUGCAUGUUCAGCUUACCUGGCCAAUCCCAC
This is a long non-coding RNA of Mauremys mutica (yellowpond turtle), 286 nucleotides long. RefSeq lists it as uncharacterized. The record is from RefSeq and is a predicted model, not a curated record. NCBI's taxonomy places the organism in Eukaryota, Metazoa, Chordata, Testudines, Geoemydidae. The transcript has 3 exons.